AUCUAGCUGUCGAAUUCCAAAUAAGAUGAAACGCGCGUCCUGGAU
This 45-nucleotide non-coding RNA is filed under the name Schistosoma curassoni. Lineage: Eukaryota; Metazoa; Platyhelminthes; Trematoda; Strigeidida; Schistosomatidae. The record is from RNAcentral.